GACGAACCGUGCGAACGUUAUUCGGAAUCACUGGGCUUAAAGGGCGCGUAGGCGGAUUCACAAGUCUGUGGUGAAAUCCUCCAGCUUAACUGGAGAAGUGCCGUGGAUACUGUGAGUCUUGAGGAGGGUAGGGGCAUCUGGAACUACCGGUGGAGCGGUGAAAUGCGUUGAUAUCGGCAGGAACUCCGGUGGCGAAGGCGAGAUGCUGGAUCCUUUCUGACGCUGAGGCGCGAAAGCCAGGGGAGCAAACGGG
This 253-nucleotide ribosomal RNA is filed under the name uncultured bacterium. Its description in RNAcentral is "partial 16S ribosomal RNA". It matches the Rfam family "Bacterial small subunit ribosomal RNA", at positions 524 to 776 of the family's 1533-position model. The record is from RNAcentral.